Non-coding RNA from Arachis ipaensis, 1887 nucleotides. Lineage: Eukaryota; Viridiplantae; Streptophyta; Magnoliopsida; Fabales; Fabaceae. The record is from RefSeq and is a predicted model, not a curated record.
CUCUAAUAUUCUCUCUCUUUCCUUCUCUCUGUCAGCCUUCUCCACUCUUACUGCCGUACGCCACCUUUACCUUCUCACUGCUUACACGUCUAACUCUCAAGGUCACCGCAGAACUAUCAUUGUGCGCCUUAUACCCAGUUCGAGGAGAACCAUUGUUGCCGGAGACAGAAUCAUCUGCCAUCCUCCUUCCUUCUCUGGCUCUGCGACUAUAAUUUUCUCUACCUCUCUAACUAUCUGUGACACUGUGACUACAUCUCUUUUUCUAUGGUCUCUGGCUCGCUGCUGCUCUUCUCCUCCUCUUUGCCACCAAUUUAGGGUGAAGAAAAAAAGAGGACAAAAAAAGUGAUCCAAAAACCACUUAAGGACAAAGAAUGAGAAGAUUCUAAUGAUGUCCAUGACGAGUUAAAGAUCUAUGACCAAGGCUCCUGCCAUGAAGGAUUAGUAUAAUUCUAAUCUAUUUUCUUAGUUUUUUCUUAUAAAAUCUUACCUGAAUUGGCGGUGUAGGAAAGGAGAAGAGCAACAGCAAGUCAAAUAUUAGAGAGGAAGAGAUACAGUCACACUGUCACAAAUAGUUAAAGAGGUAGAAAAAAUUGUAGUCAUAAAGCUAAAGAGCCAGAGAGGGGGAGAAGGGUGGUGGACGAUUUUGCCUCUGGUGACGACAACAGUUCUCCUCAGACUGGGUGUCAGGUGUGCAAUGACAAUUCUGGGAUGACCUUGAGAGUUAGACAUGUAAGCAGUGAGAGGGGGAGGGUAGCAUACAGUGAUGAGAAUAGAGGAGGUGGCGGAGAGAAUGAGAGAGAGAAUCUGAGAGUAGGAGAGUGACAGUACAGAGAAAAUAAGGUUAGGAGUUAGGAUUUUUUGAGAACUAAUAUAUAUAGUAGAUAUAUUUUAAUCAUUUUGUUUAAUAAGGAUAACGUAGUCAUUUUAUAUAAAAAAAAAUAAUUAGACUUAUUUAAAAUUUGGUUUACUUGAUUUUUUAUCGAACUGAUUUAUUCGGUUCUGUUGAGUUUGAAAAACUGAAAUGAUGAUCAAACAUUAUUAAAAUAUAAAUUAAAAAAUUAUUAAAAUAUUAAGUGUUCAAAUUAUUUCCAAUUGGUUGUUUGAUGUUGCUGUGAGGAAGAAAAAAAAAUUAAUUUCCAUAAUGGGUCAAAAGCCAAAUAGGCCCAAGCAGAACAUUGAAUUAAUUUAGCCUUGUGCAAAUAAGCCCAUGAUUUAUUAUGGACUACAAUAUUUGACCUCUUGUCCUUGCAGAUGUCCCUCUUUGAUGACAAAAGGGGGAGAAAAAUGAAAAAGGGGAAGAAAAAGAGCUGAAUUGAAACUGUUUAGUUUCCUUGAUUAAAACUGUUUUUGCCUUGUUUUGCUCUGUUUUAUGAUUUGAUUUGGCUCUGUUUUGAGCACUCUAUUUUAGUGGAUUGAUUUCACCUUGAGUUUUGAUUAUUAUUGAUAAAUAUAUUUACUCAAGUGCACAUGUGCUGUCUGGACUAUGGAAUUUUAUUAAGGUGUUUGAUAAGCAUUUUCUUGUGAAAAUAUGGCUCGGUCUUAAAGGUUCCAAAUUCUUGAAAUCUUAUCUUUUAAGAACCUUUGGAGCUUGUACACAAUAUUUUCUUUCUUGAAUAUUUUGUUAAUCAGGCACACAUUAAGGGAGAGCACAUUGAACAAAAGAAAGGGGGAGAUUUCGGCAAAUCUUCAAAGGAAAGUUUUCUACCCUAACUCUUUCAAUUCAGUUUAAUAAUGUUUAUCAUCAAGGGAGAGAUUGUUUAGUCGUUUAGAAAACUGAAAUGAUGAUUAAACAUUAUUAAAAUAUAAAUUAAAAAAUUAUUAAAAUAUUAAGUGUUCAAAUUAUUUCCAUUUGGUUGUUUGAUGUUGCUGUUAGGAAGAAAAAAAAAU